CACCGCGGUUAUACGAGAGGCCUAAGUUGAUAGCCAACGGCGUAAAGAGUGGUUAAGGAAACCCUAAAACUAAAGCCGAACAUUUUCACUGCCGUUUAACGCAUCCGAAAAUAUGAAGCCCCACCACGAAAGUGGCUUUAAUCUACCUGACCCCACGAAAGCUGUGAAA
RNAcentral lists this ribosomal RNA (169 nucleotides) under Ablennes hians. RNAcentral describes it as "partial small subunit ribosomal RNA". The record is from RNAcentral. Lineage: Eukaryota; Metazoa; Chordata; Actinopteri; Beloniformes; Belonidae.